GAUGAACGCUGGCGGCGUGCUUAACACAUGCAAGUCGAACGGGAAACCUUUUAUUGAAGCUUCGGCAGAUUUAGCUGGUUUCUAGUGGCGGACGGGUGAGUAACGCGUGGGUAACCUGCCUUAUACAGGGGGAUAACAGUCAGAAAUGGCUGCUAAUACCGCAUAAGCGCACAGAGCUGCAUGGCUCAGUGUGAAAAACUCCGGUGGUAUAAGAUGGACCCGCGUUGGAUUAGCUGGUUGGUGGGGUAACGGCCCACCAAGGCGACGAUCCAUAGCCGGCCUGAGAGGGUGAACGGCCACAGUGGGACUGAGACACGGCCCAGACUCCUACGGGAGGCAGCAGUGGGGAAUAUUGCACAAUGGGGGAAACCCUGAUGCAGCGACGCCGCGUGAAGGAAGAAGUAUCUCGGUAUGUAAACUUCUAUCAGCAGGGAAGAUAAUGACGGUACCUGACGAAGAAGCCCCGGCUAACUACGUG
This 478-nucleotide ribosomal RNA is filed under the name uncultured bacterium. RNAcentral describes it as "partial 16S ribosomal RNA". It matches the Rfam family "Bacterial small subunit ribosomal RNA", at positions 28 to 507 of the family's 1533-position model. The record is from RNAcentral.